This 508-nucleotide ribosomal RNA is filed under the name uncultured bacterium. RNAcentral's name for it is "partial 16S ribosomal RNA". It matches the Rfam family "Bacterial small subunit ribosomal RNA", at positions 28 to 507 of the family's 1533-position model. The record is from RNAcentral.
GACGAACGCUGGCGGCGUGCCUAAUACAUGCCAGUCGAACGCUUCUUUCCUCCCGAGUGCUUGCACUCAAUUGGAAAGAGGAGUGGCGGACGGGCGAGUAACACGUGGGUAACCUACCCAUCAGAGGGGGAUAACACUUGGAAACAGGUGCUAAUACCGCAUAACAGUUUAUGCCGCAUGGCAUAAGAGUGAAAGGCGCUUUCGGGUGUCGCUGAUGGAUGGACCCGCGGUGCAUUAGCUAGUUGGUGAGGUAACGGCUCACCAAGGCCACGAUGCAUAGCCGACCUGAGAGGGUGAUCGGCCACACUGGGACUGAGACACGGCCCAGACUCCUACGGGAGGCAGCAGUAGGGAAUCUUCGGCAAUGGACGAAAGUCUGACCGAGCAACGCCGCGUGAGUGAAGAAGGUUUUCGGAUCGUAAAACUCUGUUGUUAGAGAAGAACAAGGACGUUAGUAACUGAACGUCCCCUGACGGUAUCUAACCAGAAAGCCACGGCUAACUACGUG